UGGGGAAUAUUGGACAAUGGGGGCAACCCUGAUCCAGCCAUGCCGCGUGUGUGAAGAAGGCCUUCGGGUUGUAAAGCUCUUUUAGUCGGAAAGAAAGAGUCGCAAUGAAUAAUUGUGAUUUAUGACGGUACCGACAGAAAAAGCACCGGCUAACUACGUGCCAGCAGCCGCGGUAAUACGUAGGGUGCGAGCGUUAAUCGGAAUUACUGGGCGUAAAGGGUGCGCAGGCGGUUUUGCAAGUCAGAUGUGAAAGCCCCGGGCUUAACCUGGGAAUUGCGUUUGAAACUACAAGGCUAGAGUGCAGCAGAGGGGAGUGGAAUUCCAUGUGUAGCAGUGAAAUGCGUAGAGAUGUGGAAGAACACCGAUGGCGAAGGCAGCUCCCUGGGUUGACACUGACGCUCAUGCACGAAAGCGUGGGGAGCAAACA
RNAcentral lists this ribosomal RNA (427 nucleotides) under uncultured beta proteobacterium. RNAcentral's name for it is "bacterial SSU rRNA". It matches the Rfam family "Bacterial small subunit ribosomal RNA", at positions 355 to 774 of the family's 1533-position model. Lineage: Bacteria; Pseudomonadati; Pseudomonadota; Betaproteobacteria. The record is from RNAcentral.